UGCCGCGGGCGAGGCUGUGAACCGUCAGGCGAUUUGGUCGCCGAGGCCUGACGGGGAGCCAGUGGCGAAACCGACGUCCCUGGGG
RNAcentral lists this non-coding RNA (85 nucleotides) under Actinoplanes sp. Its description in RNAcentral is "c-di-GMP sequence". It matches the Rfam family "Cyclic di-GMP-II riboswitch aptamer". Lineage: Bacteria; Bacillati; Actinomycetota; Actinomycetes; Micromonosporales; Micromonosporaceae. The record is from RNAcentral. RNAcentral also lists the same sequence under 1 other name.